RNAcentral lists this transfer RNA (69 nucleotides) under Penaeus vannamei (Pacific white shrimp). RNAcentral describes it as "tRNA-Trp". It matches the Rfam family "tRNA". From Rfam's summary of the family: Transfer RNA (tRNA) molecules are approximately 80 nucleotides in length. Their secondary structure includes four short double-helical elements and three loops (D, anti-codon, and T loops). Further hydrogen bonds mediate the characteristic L-shaped molecular structure. tRNAs have two regions of fundamental functional importance: the anti-codon, which is responsible for specific mRNA codon recognition, and the 3' end, to which the tRNAs corresponding amino acid is attached (by aminoacyl-tRNA synthetases). tRNAs cope with the degeneracy of the genetic code in two manners: having more than one tRNA (with a specific anti-codon) for a particular amino acid; and 'wobble' base-pairing, i.e. permitting non-standard base-pairing at the 3rd anti-codon position. The record is from RNAcentral. Lineage: Eukaryota; Metazoa; Arthropoda; Malacostraca; Decapoda; Penaeidae.
AAAGCUUUAAGUUAUCUAAACUAAUAGCCUUCAAAGUUAUCAAAAAGAGUAAAAAUCUCUUAAGCUUUA